GAUGAACGCUGGCGGCGUGCCUAAUACAUGCAAGCCGAGCGAACGGACGAGAAGCUUGCUUUUCUGAUGUUAGCGGCGGACGGGUGAGUAACACGUGGAUAACCUACCUAUAAGACUGGGAUAACUUCGGGAAACCGGAGCUAAUACCGGAUAAUAUUUUGAACCGCAUGGUUCAAAAGUGAAAGACGGUCUUGCUGUCACUUAUAGAUGGAUCCGCGCUGCAUUAGCUAGUUGGUAAGGUAACGGCUUACCAAGGCAACGAUGCAUAGCCGACCUGAGAGGGUGAUCGGCCACACUGGAACUGAGACACGGUCCAGACUCCUACGGGAGGCAGCAGUAGGGAAUCUUCCGCAAUGGGCGAAAGCCUGACGGAGCAACGCCGCGUGAGUGAUGAAGGUCUUCGGAUCGUAAAACUCUGUUAUUAGGGAAGAACAUAUGUGUAAGUAACUGUGCACAUCUUGACGGUACCUAAUCAGAAAGCCACGGCUAACUACGU
This 496-nucleotide ribosomal RNA is filed under the name uncultured bacterium. RNAcentral describes it as "partial 16S ribosomal RNA". It matches the Rfam family "Bacterial small subunit ribosomal RNA", at positions 28 to 506 of the family's 1533-position model. The record is from RNAcentral.